UAGGGAAUCUUCGGCAAUGGACGGAAAGUCUGACCGAGCAACGCCGCGUGAGUGGAGAAGGUUUUCGGAUCGUAAACUCUGUUGUUAGAGAAGAACAAGGGUGAGAGUAACUGUUCACCCCUUGACGGUAUCUAACCAGAAAGCCACGGCUAACUACGUGCCAG
RNAcentral lists this ribosomal RNA (164 nucleotides) under uncultured bacterium. RNAcentral describes it as "partial 16S ribosomal RNA". It matches the Rfam family "Bacterial small subunit ribosomal RNA", at positions 355 to 511 of the family's 1533-position model. The record is from RNAcentral.